RNAcentral lists this unclassified non-coding RNA (216 nucleotides) under uncultured fungus. RNAcentral's name for it is "sequence contains ITS1, 5.8S rRNA gene". The stretch from base 168 to 216 matches the Rfam family "5.8S ribosomal RNA", at positions 1 to 49 of the family's 154-position model. Lineage: Eukaryota; Fungi. The record is from RNAcentral.
UUUCCGUAGGUGAACCUGCGGAAGGAUCAUUAUCGAUUUCGGUUUACACCGUUUUCUACCUUUGUCUAUGCGUACCACACGUUUCCUCGGGGGGCUUGCCCCCCGUUAGGACAUUUUAUCAACCUUUUUGUAAUAGCAGUCAGCGUCUGAAAUAAUUUAAUUAUUAAAACUUUCAACAACGGAUCUCUUGGUUCUGGCAUCGAUGAAGAACGCAGC